Molecule: transfer RNA, 74 nt
Filed under: Filobacillus milosensis
Lineage: Bacteria; Bacillati; Bacillota; Bacilli; Caryophanales; Bacillaceae
Rfam family: tRNA
About the family: Transfer RNA (tRNA) molecules are approximately 80 nucleotides in length. Their secondary structure includes four short double-helical elements and three loops (D, anti-codon, and T loops).
Source: Rfam by way of RNAcentral
GUCCCAGUAGCUCAGGUGGAUAGAGCAACGGCCUCCUAAGCCGUAGGUCGGGAGUUCGAAUCUCUCCUGGGACG